GCUCGUAUAGCUCAGCGGUAGAGCGUCUCACUCGUAAUGAGAAGGUCCUAGGUUCAAGUCCUAGUUCGAGCA
Molecule: transfer RNA, 72 nt
Filed under: Drechslerella stenobrocha 248
Lineage: Eukaryota; Fungi; Ascomycota; Orbiliomycetes; Orbiliales; Orbiliaceae
Also listed under: 1 other name
Description: tRNA-Thr (CGT) (tRNA-Thr-CGT-1-1)
Rfam family: tRNA
About the family: Transfer RNA (tRNA) molecules are approximately 80 nucleotides in length. Their secondary structure includes four short double-helical elements and three loops (D, anti-codon, and T loops).
Source: RNAcentral